This 253-nucleotide ribosomal RNA is filed under the name uncultured bacterium. RNAcentral's name for it is "partial 16S ribosomal RNA". It matches the Rfam family "Bacterial small subunit ribosomal RNA", at positions 524 to 776 of the family's 1533-position model. The record is from RNAcentral.
UACGUAGGUGGCAAGCGUUGUCCGGAAUUAUUGGGCGUAAAGCGCACGUAGGCGGCAUUGCAAGUCGGAUGUGAAAUCCCUCGGCUUAACCGAGGAAGUGCAUCCGAAACUGCCGUGCUUGAGUACGAAAGAGGAUCGCGGAAUUCCCGGUGUAGAGGUGAAAUUCGUAGAUAUCGGGAGGAACACCAGUGGCGAAGGCGGCGACCUGGGUAGAUACUGACGCUGAGGCGCGAAAGCGUGGGGAGCAAACAGG